RNAcentral lists this transfer RNA (61 nucleotides) under zebrafish metagenome. It matches the Rfam family "tRNA", at positions 6 to 65 of the family's 71-position model. From Rfam's summary of the family: Transfer RNA (tRNA) molecules are approximately 80 nucleotides in length. The record is from RNAcentral.
GGGUGGCCGAGAGGCGAGGCGCCGCACUGCAAAUGCGGAUACGCGGGUUCAAAUCCCGCCC